GACGAACGCUGGCGGCGUGCCUAAUACAUGCAAGUAGAACGCACAGUUUAUACCGUAGCUUGCUACACCAUAGACUGUGAGUUGCGAACGGGUGAGUAACGCGUAGGUAACCUGCCUGGUAGCGGGGGAUAACUAUUGGAAACGAUAGCUAAUACCGCAUAAUAUUAAUUAUUCCAUGAUAAUUAAUUGAAAGGUGCAAUUGCACUACUACCAGAUGGACCUGCGUUGUAUUAGCUAGUAGGUGAGGUAACGGCUCACCUAGGCGACGAUACAUAGCCGACCUGAGAGGGUGAUCGGCCACACUGGGACUGAGACACGGCCCAGACUCCUACGGGAGGCAGCAGUAGGGAAUCUUCGGCAAUGGACGAAAGUCUGACCGAGCAACGCCGCGUGAGUGAAGAAGGUUUUCGGAUCGUAAAGCUCUGUUGUAAGAGAAGAACGGGUGUGAGAGUGGAAAGUUCACACUGUGACGGUAUCUUACCAGAAAGGGACGGCUAACUACGUG
RNAcentral lists this ribosomal RNA (505 nucleotides) under uncultured bacterium. RNAcentral describes it as "partial 16S ribosomal RNA". It matches the Rfam family "Bacterial small subunit ribosomal RNA", at positions 28 to 507 of the family's 1533-position model. The record is from RNAcentral.